GACGAACGCUGGCGGCGUGCUUAACACAUGCAAGUCGAACGGAAAGGCCCCUUUGGGGGUACUCGAGUGGCGAACGGGUGAGUAACACGUGAGUAACCUGCCCUUGACUUCGGGAUAACUUCAGGAAACUGGGGCAAUUACGGGAUGGGAAUCCUUGCGCCAGGGGGGGGGUGGGAAAGCUUCGGCGGUUUUGGAUGGACUCGCGGCUUAUCAGCUUGUUGGUGGGGAAGUGGCUUACCAAGGCUUUGACGGGUAGCCGGCCUGAGAGGGCGACCGGCCACAUUGGGACUGAGAUACGGCCCAGACUCCUACGGGAGGCAGCAGUGGGGAAUAUUGCACAAUGGGCGGAAGCCUGAUGCAGCAACGCCGCGUGCGGGAUGACGGCCUUCGGGUUGUAAACCGCUUUCAGCAGGGGCGAAGCUUGUGGUGACGGUACCUGCAGAAGAAGCACCGGCUAACUACGUG
Molecule: ribosomal RNA, 465 nt
Filed under: uncultured bacterium
Lineage: Bacteria
Description: partial 16S ribosomal RNA
Rfam family: Bacterial small subunit ribosomal RNA
Source: RNAcentral